GCCGCCGUAGCUCAGUGGUAGAGCGCCGCACUUGUAAUGCGGGGGUCAUCGGUUCGAAUCCGAUCGGCGGCUCCA
RNAcentral lists this transfer RNA (75 nucleotides) under Armatimonadota bacterium. RNAcentral's name for it is "Armatimonadetes bacterium (groundwater metagenome) tRNA-Thr". It matches the Rfam family "tRNA". Rfam says of the family: Transfer RNA (tRNA) molecules are approximately 80 nucleotides in length. Their secondary structure includes four short double-helical elements and three loops (D, anti-codon, and T loops). Further hydrogen bonds mediate the characteristic L-shaped molecular structure. tRNAs have two regions of fundamental functional importance: the anti-codon, which is responsible for specific mRNA codon recognition, and the 3' end, to which the tRNAs corresponding amino acid is attached (by aminoacyl-tRNA synthetases). tRNAs cope with the degeneracy of the genetic code in two manners: having more than one tRNA (with a specific anti-codon) for a particular amino acid; and 'wobble' base-pairing, i.e. permitting non-standard base-pairing at the 3rd anti-codon position. Lineage: Bacteria; Bacillati; Armatimonadota. The record is from RNAcentral.